CUGGGCUUAAAGCGUGUGUAGGCGGAUUUCUAAGUACCUUGUGAAAUCCCACGGCUCAACCGUGGAACUGCUCGGUAUACUGGGAGUCUUGAGCCAUCCAGGGGCUACCGGAACAAAUGGUGGAGCGGUGAAAUGCGUAGAUAUCAUUUGGAACGCCAAUGGUGAAAACAGGUAGCUGGGGAUGUGCUGACGCUGAGACACGAAAGCCAGGGGAGCAAACGGGAUUAGAUACCCCGGUAGUCCUGGCCAUAAACGAUGUCCACUAGAUCGUGGUGCCUCUGACGGUGGCACGGUCGAAGCAAAAGUGCUAAGUGGACCGCCUGGGAAGUACGGUCGCAAGGCUAAAACUCAAAGGAAUUGACGGGGGCUCACACAAGCGGUGGAGCAUGUGGUUCAAUUCGAAGCAACGCGCAGAACCUUACCUGGGCUUGACAUGCUAGGAUUAUCCCUGUGAAAGCAGGGUAGGCCCUUCGGGGUACAACUAGUACAGGUGCUGCAUGGCUGUCGUCAGCUCGUGUCGUGAGAUGUCGGGUUAAGUCCCUUAACGAGCGAAACCUUUGCCCUUAGUUACCAUCGGGUUAUGCCGGGGACUCUAAGGGGACUGCCGGUGUCAAACCGGAGGAAGGUGGAGAUGACGUCAAGUCCUCAUGGCCUUUAUGCCCAGGGCCACACACGUGCUACAAUGGGGUGCACAGAGCGAACCGAUAGCGCAAGCUGGAGGAAAUCGCAGAAAUCACCCCCCAGUUCAGAUCGGAGGCUGCAACUCGCCUCCGUGAAGUUGGAAUCGCUAGUAAUCGCGGAUCAGCUACGCCGCGGUGAAUGUGUUCCUGAGCCUUGUACACACCGCCCGUCAAGUCAUGGGAGCCGGAAAUAGCCGAAGCCGCCAC
RNAcentral lists this ribosomal RNA (887 nucleotides) under uncultured bacterium. RNAcentral describes it as "bacterial SSU rRNA". It matches the Rfam family "Bacterial small subunit ribosomal RNA", at positions 554 to 1433 of the family's 1533-position model. The record is from RNAcentral.